GUGCUUGCUUCGGCAGCACAUAUACUAAAGUUGGAAUGAUACAGAGAAGAUUAGCAUGGCCCCUGCACGAGGAUGACACACAAAUUCGUGAAGCGUUCCAUAUUUUU
Molecule: small nuclear RNA, 107 nt
Organism: Bos grunniens (domestic yak)
Lineage: Eukaryota; Metazoa; Chordata; Mammalia; Artiodactyla; Bovidae
Source: Ensembl